This is a non-coding RNA of Misgurnus anguillicaudatus (oriental weatherfish), 1500 nucleotides long. NCBI's taxonomy places the organism in Eukaryota, Metazoa, Chordata, Actinopteri, Cypriniformes, Cobitidae. The record is from RefSeq and is a predicted model, not a curated record.
GCUAUUGAAGUCGUCGAACGCACCUGACUGUUAUGUGAACGAUGCUCAAGUGGCGAAUGAGUCACUUACUUGAUUCCUUUUAUGGAAAACGUGGAUUCGCGAUUCAGUUUUAAUUAUUCAGACAGUAUACUCCCACACUGAAUCCUGUGGAGAGAUAAAAUUAUAACGCGAUACAUAUAAAGUUUAAACACAGGAAACAAAUCGCAAAGACUAUUAAUCAUGUUUACCCACAUCAAUGUAAAACUAACCAGGAUUGCGUUUAUUGAACAGAUUCGGUGUCUGAUCGGAAUCAAACACUCGAGUGUCUACAUUCAACCAAAGCUACACCUAACAGUUUGUCUGUCAGGUUGGUGGAGAAGAAAGCAAGGACCGGCCUCUGAGAGAAAGAGAGAGACGAAGAGAUCGAGAGAGAGACCGCACCAUGUUUGCUGGGUUAAAUCUCCUAAUGACAAAAAUAAAUCAAAAUCAUCAACUGCCGAAGAUGGACGCCGCGCAUCUGGCUUCUCCCCUCGGAAGACUCGGAACUGCUGUCGAGGAAAAUUGUGCACAAUCAGUGAUUGAUGACCUGAAGCUAGCAAAUACCCCUGACAACUGCACCACGCAGACUAAAGCUCGCAGAAUUUCUCUCUAACGUGUUAUCGAGCGCUGCUAUUCUAUACCCGAUUCUAUACAGUGAAAAUAGUACAAUUGUACAAUAGUACAAUUUGCUUAAAAAUCGGCACGUCGUAUCAGCGAAUUUGUUAUAUUUCGUUUGAUCUACUGACCCAUAACAAGGUACUCAGACUUUACCCUGAAUGUUUGGUAUAGAUAGAGGCCUGUGCGUGCCAAAAGAAAGGCAAAAUGCGAGUUUCUGAAUCAGAAAGUUAAAUAGUGUAAAAAAUUGGAUUUUCACAUUUGAUUUGGAUCUCAGUCUUGAACCUAUUUAUUCUAUUUUGAGAGAAAAAGAAAAAGCUAAAUAUAUUAAUUUUAGUAUUACUUUAUCUAGUGUUCCUUAAUGCACUUACAGUCUAAUAUUAAAACGAGAUUUUUUGAAUAAUAUUUUAAUUUAAUAUAAAAACUUUUUCUACCUUCGUUAAUGUCUUUAAAAUUUACUUUACUCUUUACAAAUUAAUGUGUGUAAGGACUCGUGUCUCUCUUUUUUCGCUUUAAACUAAUUACUUACAUUUUUUAAAACUUACUUUAAAUGUAGUUAUUUUCUUCAAGAGGCCGUCAAAAACCUUUUUAUACCCCUAUUUUUUAUAUUAUAUAUCUGCCGUCCACCCGAAUAAUACAAACGUUUAAAUAAUAAUAAUAAGCUCGGGGUCACCAAAUUGCCAUCUUUUAGACAGAAAAAGACCCCUUUAGCCUGUUUUUUCUAAUGCAGGUGAUGUUCAGGUGUAAGCUGGAUGUGCAAGAGUAAAAUAAUUUAGAAUGAUGGAAGAUGUUGCUGGAAUUGUUAAGUAGUAGUCAAAAAACUCGUGGUUAUUGUAUUUAGAGGCAAAAUAGUUUGUAUUAAAAGUG